Rattus norvegicus (Norway rat) is the source of this 31337-nucleotide non-coding RNA. Lineage: Eukaryota; Metazoa; Chordata; Mammalia; Rodentia; Muridae. The record is from RefSeq and is a predicted model, not a curated record.
CCCCUCAUAAUGGAGUGUGCACAGUAUACACUGAAGUGAAGAAAUUGGUGUGGUCUAGAAGGGUGGGGACUAAGGGCUUUAAAAUGAAAUAAAAGUGAUAUACAAAUGGGGACAAGAAAGAGAACUCAGAGUCUACUGAGCUGAGGAUACUCACUAAGGUAUUCUAUGCAGAAGGGUCAGGACAAUGAGGCAUGGGAGUAAACUCAAGUCAUGUGAUAGAUGAAAGAGAGUCACAAAAUGGUGGUGGAAGUGUGACAGAAAACAGAACUUAAGAAAACCACUCCUGGGCAUAUACCAAAAGAUGCUCCACCAUCCCACAAGGAUACUUACUCAACUAUGUUCACAGCAGCUUUAUUCAUAAAAGCCAGAAAUGGGAACCAUCCUAGAUAUCCCUCAGCUGAACAAUGAAUAAAGAAAAUGCGGUACUGUAGAGAGCGGCGCGGCGAAACAAAGAUGGCGCCGACAUCCAGCCUUGUCUGGAUAUAAACGACUUACUGCGCAUGUGCAGGCUUGUCCCCUUGCUAGGGCUCCCUCUAGUGGUGAACAGCGGUACUGCACAUGUGCGGUUUAUGCACCAGGUGUUAGUUGACCCUUAAUAUGCUAAUGAGGUGAUUCAUUCUCCGCCAAUCCCUGGAGGACAAGUAGUGGGGUGAUCCAAGCCCCACCAAUCCCUGAGAGAUAAUUAGCAUACUGUUGUCUAUAUAAGCCGAGCGAUUUUGCUGCUCGGGGUCCCUGUUCAAGAGAGCUGUAACACUAAGAAGAGCUGUAACACUGAGAAGAGCUGUAACACUAAGAAGAGCUGUAACACAGUAAAGGCUUGCUAGCAGAAGAAUCCUGUUGCCGCGCGUCGUUCUUGCUGGCGGGACAUUGGGCGCGCGACAAGUGGUGCCGAAACCCAGAAACCAACAUCGCCGGUGCCGAGGGGACCCUUCAGUGUGCUGAAGAGGAUUCAGAACUGCGAGAAGGUAAAAUAAAAGAAUCAAGAAAAUCCAAUUUGGGUACCUGAGCGUUUGACUCGAAGAUUGUCUUCUGCUCUUCCUGAAGAUGAGACUACGAACCCUACUAUUACUACUGGGAAUGGUAAUACAGGUUAAUUCGCUCACCCUAUGGGCUAUUGCCAGAUCCUGGCCAGUACCCAUGCCAGUUCAUAGCAAUUCUACUGUUUUGAGAAUAAGACUGGCAAGCAUAAUCUCUGGCCUUGGUUUCAAUGGGUGCUGUCCAAUGAGCAAGGGGCAUAUACAUCCCUGACCCCCUUUGCUAGGUUGAUGGGUGAGAACUUCGUGCUGUAUAAUGUUUCAGCUACCAGAAAAAAUGAUACCAGGUUGACCAAUAUAAUAACCUCUUGGCAAAUAAUACUGCCACUAGUACUUCAGUAUGUGUUAGAUCACCUUUUUUCUUUCUGAUAAGCACUAAUGUCAGCAGUGGUGUUUUAAAUUGUAAUAGCUCUGAUGUAGUCUGCUAUUUAGCUGAAUGCUGGGAUGGCACUAAUGACACCGCAGUGAUGGUUAAGAUUCCCUCCUUUGUGCCAAUCCCAGUGGAGGCAAACCCAGAUAGCUUUCAUAUUCUUAAUUUGCAGAGAGCCAAAAGAGAUUUUGGAAUUACGGCAGCCAUAAUUUCAGCCAUUGUGCUGUCUGCUGCCGCAGCUACCACAGCUGAAAUCGCUAUGACCAAUCAAAUACAGACGGCUAAGACUGUCAAUCAGAUUGUAUAAAGAACUGCACUGGCGCUAGAGAUACAAGAAGAAUUUAAUACCCAUUUGCCAUCUGGCCUUCUAUUAGCCAAUCAAAGGAUAGAUUUAGUUCAAGAACAAAUUGAAGCACUGUAUCAUAUGACACAGCUGUCUUGUGUUUCCUCCCUUAGAGGUUUAUGCAUUGUUCUUUUGCGAGCUAACUUUUCUCAGCAUUUUCAACAGAGCAAAGAAAUCUCGAAUUACCUGAAAGGAAACUGGUCCAUGAAAGCAGAGCAACUAUCAAGACAAUUGCUGAUGCAGAUAGCUGUCCUCAACAGCACUAGUCUGGACCCCAUCACAGUUGAAGACUUUACCUCAUGGAUUACCAAUGCUUUCUCCCUUGUUAAGGAGUGGGCGGGCAUGUUUGUCCUGGGGAGCUAUUGUCCUCCUGGGAUGCGGAGUAGGUCUCUGGCUUAUUGGCCGUUUAAAAAGAGAACAUGCCAGACACAAAGUGGUUGUUUACCAGGCUAUGACCACCAUUAAAAAAGGUGCUUCUCCCAACAUAUGGCUGGCCUCUUUGAAAGAUCAAGAGUUCGCCCUAGAUCAUUUUUGUCACAGUCAUGUGGGGUCAUUGUAUCCAGGGACGGGCAACUUUCCUCGAACUCGGACCAACCUAAGACACGGGGCCCGGUGGCGAUAGGGUAACUCUUUGAUGGGUAAGGCCGAGUUUGGAUGAGAACGACCUAAGACAGGAGCAAUGACAAGAUUGACGUGACACCCAGAUCUAGACCAGUCAUUUUAUUAAACAAAAAAGGGGGAGAUGUAGAGAGCGGCGCGGCGAAACAAAGAUGGCGCCGACAUCCAGCCUUGUCUGGAUAUAAACGACUUACUGCGCGUGUGCAGGCUUGUCCUCUUGCUAGGGCUCCCUCUAGUGGUGAACAGCGGUACUGCACAUGUGCGGUUUAUGCACCAGGUGUCAGUUGACCGUUAAUAUGCUAAUGAGGUGAUUCAUUCUCCGCCAAUCCCUGGAGGACAAGUAGUGGGGUGAUCCAUGCCCCACCAAUCCCUGAGAGAUAAUUAGCAUACUGUUGUGUAUAUAAGUCGAGCGACUUUGCUGCUCGAGGUCCCUGUUCAAGAGAGCUGUAACACUGAGAAGAGCUGUAACACUAAGAAGAGCUGUAACACAGUAAAGGCUUGCUCGCAGAAGAAUCCUGUUGCCGCGCGUCGUUCUUGCUGGCGGGACAUUGGGCGCUCGACACGGUACAUCUACACAAUUCAGCUAUUAAAAACAAAGACAUCAUGAAUUUUGCAGACAAUGGAGAGAACAUGAGAAUAUCAUCCUGAAUGAGGUAACCCAGUUCCAAAAGGACAUGCAUGGUAUGUACUCACUUAUAAGUGGAUAUUAGCCAUAAAAUACAGGAUAUCCAUACUACACUCCACAGACCCAAAGAAGCUAAACAAGAAGGAAGGCACUAGCAAGGAUGCUUGAAUUUCACUUAGAAGGGGGAAGAAAUAGUCGUAAGAAGAAAAUGGAGGGGGAACUGGGAAGGAAAGGGUAUAGGGAAGGGAAUGUGAAGGUUCAGGAACAGGUAUGGAGAACAACAGGAGAGAUAGUCAGAUGGACAUGAUAAUGAAUAGAAAUCUACAAAGAUAGGGGUGGGGACAUGGGGGGCAUAUCCAGGACAAGGCAGAGCCCUGGGAUAAGGGAGGUGCCAAAGAAUCAGUGGGGGUUACUAUAGCUGUGACUCACUACACUGGGGAUAUGGAACUUGAAGAGGCCACCUCCUGUAGGCAGGCAGGAACCCCAGGGGAGUGAUAGAGACUCCAACUCACCCACAAGACUUUCAACCCAAAAUCUAUCCUAUCUACAAGAAAUGCAGGCACAGGGGAUGGAGGAAAGACUGAAAGAACUGCCAACUAAUAACUGGCCCAACUUGAGACCCAUCCCAUUGGCAAGCAUGAAUCACUACUAGUGAUACUCUGUUAUGCUUACAGACAAGACCCUAGCAUGUCUGGCCUCAAAGAGGCUCCAUCCAGCAGCUGACUUAGAUGCAGACACACAUAGUCAAACAGUGCAUGAAACUUGCUGACUUUUAUGGAAGAACAGGAAGAAGGAUUAUGGGCCAUGAAGGGGAUAGGAACUCCACAAGAAGACCAACAGAUUCAACUAACCUGGACACUUGGGGCUCUCAGAGUCUGAAUCACCAACCAAGGAAUAUACAUGGGCUGGACCUAGGCCUCCAGCACAUGUAGAGCAGGAAUGCACCUUUGCCUUCACAUGGUCCUGAACAACUGGAGUGGGGCUGUCCCAAAAGCUGUUGCCUGAACAUGAGACAUGUUCUUCUUCCUGGACUGCCUUGUUUAGCCUCAGUGGGAGAGGAAGUGCCUAGCCUUGCAGAGACUUGAAGUGUCAGAUUAGGGGGAUACCUAGGAGACCCCACCCACUAAGAGAAGGGGAGGAGAAAUGAAGGGAGGAUUGUGGGAGGGGGUGACCAGGAGGGGUACAGUGAGAGAGAUAUAAAGUGAAUAAAUAAAAAAUAAAAAAAAUAUUUUUUAAAAAGAAGAAGUAAACAACUGGGAUACAUGGAAGGCCUUGGUGUGCAAUAGAUGCCGCCGUUCUUUGUGUCAGCUAAACUAAGGAGAGCCAGGCAGAUGGGCCAUCACACCAGUAUUUUUACUCUUGAAGGCAGUUUAGCAUCAAGAGAGUAGCCCAAAAUUCAGAGACUUAAGCAGCACUUGUAAGCUAGAUAACAUAUACCACAGACCGGAAACAAUCAAUCAAAAGGACUAUGGGGUUGGGAAGCAGGAAACAGACCUGGCAAAUACUGUAGAUGAACAAUCAGAGUUAAUAGAGAAGACAAUAAAAAAUGAUGGUAUGAGCUUUGACCACAUAUGACUUAGACAGUGAUAAAUAAGGAAGGUAUUUUGGAGUAGAUCAGAUUUUUCUUAAUACAUUGAAUUGGAAGCCAUUCUGAAACACAAAUGGUUAAUAAUGUUAAACAGAAGGUAAAGCUAAUAACUGAUACAACUGGGGGAAGUUGAAAUUUCUAAAUCCAUACAGAAGCCAAAGAAAUACCAUGGGGCCAGAUCUAUGUAAAGAGAACUCAAAGCUACAUAAAGGACAGAAAGAAAUGUCAAUCAAUUCAGAAAGAUAUGUAAAUAUGAAUAUAGUCAGGAAGUAAUUUGUUUAAAGUCAUUAAUUCUCUAAUUAGUCUGUACAUUUAAUGCAAAUCUAAUAAAAACAACAUACAAUAUAGUUCUGUGAAGCUUAAUGAAAUUAUUCUAGAGUCAUUUAAAUUAUGAUCUUAGAAUAGUUGUUCUAAAAAAGUAAAGGAGACCCUGACUUAGAGGUUAUUGAAAUAUGUCAUAAAAACACAGUAAUGUAUUGCUAACUUAUAUGUAGAAAAUGUAUUAGAUUGGGAAGUCCAAAACAGAUGUAAGCAUGUGCGAUUAUGUUAAAUAAGAAAACCCACCUCAAAUCAAGAUGUAAAGGGAUAACCGAAGGAGCGACACCAGCGAAAGGAUUUUCUUUUGAGAUGUGUUGAAGAUGGUGGAAGACACCCAAGCUUUUCAUACACAGACAGAACGAUCCUAAUGACAGCGAUAACAAAUUUUCAUUGGAAUCCAGAAAAGCCAUGGACUUAAGGGAUCCAUGGAUUUUUAAUAGGAGGUGGGUCAAAGUUGAAACCAAUGACCACAGUGAAAUGAAGCCUUCACCGAGGAAGUACCCAGAAGCACUUAGUGAUGAUAGAGAUUGCUCUUAAGAGCAGAUGGUUUGGGCCUGGCAAGAUGACUGUUAGACAGAGGCAUUUCCCGUCAAGCGUGACAACGUGAGCUCAACCCCUGAAGGACCCUUAUGUUGGGAGAAUUUCCUCCUGGAAGUUCUCUUCUGCUUCUACACAUAGCAUGUAAGUACAUAUACAAACACAUGCACACGCAUAUACACAUGUGCAUGAAUACACACAAAUAUACACAUAAAGAAAUGUAUAAUUUUCUUUUAAAAAGAGCAGCCGAUUUGGAAUCUGACUCACUGGAAACAAAGAAAUAGCAAAGUCAAAAAAAAUUAAUAAUGAAGUUUACUGUCAGAGUAAGCUUGCCAAGUUUUAGAUUUCUGCACUGUCUGUUCAGAAAAAUGGCAUAAAUUGGAUUGUAAUGAAAACAGCUAGCCAAUAAUUCUGCAGGUCAGUAAUGCUGGCUCUGAAGCUCCAAGAAAAGUGCCAAAGACCUGAGGAGAGAGCCUCCAUUAUUAUGGAAGGGCAGAGGCAUGGAAGGAAAAAAGUGACAGCUAAAUGUUAUGACCUUUAAAUUAGGUUUAAAACAUUACGUCAAGUACCUGUGAAUCAAUGAAUAUUGUAGAAAUCACUAGAAAAGCUCCUGGCUGUGUUUCACUUCCCAGUUUCUUACAUGGUAAGACUCAGAACAACUGACUUCCUGGGUCUGUUGGUUCUCGCCUUUAGACUGGACAUUGUAUGAGAGCAUCUCUCUGGCUCUGGGCAAGGCACUAAUUCAUGGUAUCCACACACCGUAUGCCACAUGCCGUCAGAAUUUUCAGUAUGGUCUGCUAUUUAUAAAUGAUAAAAGGUCUAGGUGUGCUUGUUACACUUCAGUUAUUAAUCUACUGCAAUUCUUCCUUAAACUGAGUAAGCAGAGUGCACCAAUGUCUUCAAAGGCCUCACAGCCCCCACCCCCACCCCAGUCCAGUCCCAGGUCUAGACUGAGCCAAGUGAACAGCCGUCCACAGUAAGCGAUGUCUAGGGAAGUGGCAUGAUGGAAAGAAUGAGAGCUACCCUCAAAGAGGAGAAGAGACGCUUACAGCAAUAUGAGGACAAUGACAGAUUUGCCACACAUGACAGACUUCUGUUUGACCUUUGGAAUGAAUCAAUGUCACUGUCCCUAAAUGGUUAGUUUCUGUGUAUUCUAAGAGUCUAUAUCUAUGAGUGAGUCCUCACUCUUUGACAAAUGGUGCAGAGUUCAAAACAGGUAGCAAAGAAAGAUAUACUUAGCUUCUGAAACUGUCUUCAAGAACAAUGUCUUUAAGAUCGUGGACUCUGACUCUUUAUUUUUGUAAUAAUGUAGAAAAAAAGAGAAAAUAUUUACCAGCUACUACUCAUUGUUGAAUUUGCUUCUGCUCUCUCCGUCACUCUGCUCUGCAAUGCUGUCUGAGAGGAAUGCACUCAGCUUAUGACUGACUUAUGGUAGAGGGCUGGUUGUCAGUCGUGAGAGUGAAGAGUGACUGUCAAGCGUACUCUUAUUUGCUGCUGUGUCACCUCAGGUGUUGGUGAGCCUGCAAAUUUUCUGUGAAAAAAUAACUUUUCCUAGAUAGAUUUAAGUGGCUCUACUCUAUAGAAGCCUUAUUUGACUAUCUAUAGAAGGCAUAUUUGACUAUCAAAAGGUAAACUAUUUAACAUGUACAGUUUGACAUACAUGGGCAUGUAUCCAUUAAAUGUCCACCACAAUCGAGUGCUCUGUAUCUGUUUGGUCCAAAUACCCUUUCUCUAAAGGAUAAACGCUUUGCUUGAGUGUCAAGAGCAAUCAAGUGAAAACCAUGAUCUGAGAGUUACGCUUCAUGGUUAUACUUCCACUUUUACCUCUGCUUCAUGGCGUCUCAGGAAUCUAGCUUUGUGGGGGAAUAUGGUAAUGAGGCAGGAACUGUGAGUAAGGGCUGAAGUCUAGCAGUCUGGGAAGCCAUGUUUUAAACCCUCCUUUAUUGUAAUUUCUUUUUUUCAAAACUAAGUACAUUUUCAGUGUUAACAUUAAACAUUCCUGCCUAUUGGUAGCAAAGCUCUUUAGGCAUACUGUCUCCUGCUGCCACUCCCCCAUUAGACAGCAGUUGCCAACAGCUCCUUGGCUAAGAGUGGGACUUCAUUCAUGCUCGUCUCUGCUCCCCAUGCUGUGUUCACCCUGGCUUGUGCUUACACAGGGCUCAUGCAUGCUGCCAUAGCCUCCAUGAGUUCAUAUGUGCAGCUGUUCUACUGUGUCCAGAGGUCACUGUUUCCCAGUGUUCAUUCUACCUCUGACUCGCAGGGUUUACUUCUGCCUCCUCUUCUAUGAUGGCCCCUGCACCUUGAGAAGAGUGAUACAGUCCAGAUGUUCCAUUUAGGGCUGAGUGUUCUGCAGUCCCUUAAAUCUCUGUAUCUUGCCGGUUGUGUGUCUCUGCAUUAGCUGCCACUCCAGUUCUUCUCCAAUGAGUGUGGUGAUAGGAACGAUCUAUGGGAAUAAUGCUAGGUCAUCAGGAGUCCAUUUAAUACUGCCCUUAGCAGAAAAAUAAUAGUAGACAGCCAUAAAUUCAUGAAUAUACGGCAGCACACAUUGAACUUGGUGUGUGAAAAAGCAAACACAUGAGGAGACACAAAGUUGUUGAGAUUGAAGAGAAAGUGGAUAAGAAUAGGGAGGGUGAAUACAAUCAACUCUCAACUUACCGUACACAAUUUUCACUAAUAAAAAUGUGAAAAAACACUGCUGCUUAUGUUUGCUCUUUUUGUUUCUGUUUUAAUUUUCAGUCAUAUUAAGAUGAAGUUUUAUCUUCGUCAAAUUAUGAAAUGGAUUAAAUUUGAUUCUGGUUCACUCUUCAAAUGGUGUUAGGUGUUAGGUACACAGCCACACAUAUGGGAGUAUGCAGCAGGGUCAGGGUUCCUGACCUAUACAGCCAACGUCUGUGAGCAAAUGUAAAGUUACCCUGGAACUGAACCCAAUAAGCAGCCUGGACAAACAGAGAAACAGUGGGCAGCCAGGCUCUCAAGCCUAGCAGAUCUGCCUCCAGUCCUAAGGCCUUCCAGUACGGUGCUCACUUCCAUAAACUCCCUUCUCUAAAGACAAGAUCGCCUGGCCUUCUAAAUCAAAUUUUUUUAAAAACCAAGACAUAAACUCAGCACUAAAGAUAACUAGUGAGUAACAACAUAAAUGCAAAUACUUUUAUGGAAUAAAUGAUGCUCAUUCUUCUCAUAAAUUACUUCUACAUCUACCUAGGCUUUGGGAAGAAUACAGUGGAUAUUCUUCUAAACAUAAGAUCCAACAGACAUUUUUAAGGUUGCCCAACUAGAGAUUUUACCAUCAAAUUGACAUUAUUCUUUUCACAGUAUUCAGAAGGAGAUAAAUAUUGAAAACAGGACUGCGAAAUCCAUGCUCCUCUCUCAAGUUGAUGUUACUGCAAGACAAACAGAACAAAAAGUAGUCACAGUGGAGGGGCUUCUCCUUUGCUCUCUCAGUUCCACAUGUAGGUUUUAAUGUCUAAAACUUGCCAUGGAGAUUUCUCUCUGCUCAACAGCAAAAACCAACACGUUAACUUUUUCAUCUUAUUUUCCUUCAUAUAAAAAGAAAACACAGAAGCAAAAUAAUGUAUCAGCAAAAAUACAGGAACUGGUCAAGUUGUUGGCAGGUGUGAAGUUACAUAAACAAUCAGAGGGAACUAAUCUCAUAAUGUUACAUUGUUUCAGAAUCCUACAAAAGUGAUUAUAUAUUAAAAAGAUUCCUAGAACAAAAAAUACUAACAAAUCCAACUUCUUUUAAAAGUUUUAUCAUAUUUCUUUAUGGACUUUUGCAUUUAUUAUGACACAGGGAUGUGUUAUGAUGUGCACCAUAUGAGUAUGCCGAGGACAGAGGAUGACGUGAAGGAGUUUUCUUUCUGUUGUAUAGGUUCUGGGGAUGGAGCUCAGGUCAUCAGGCCCCCUGGCCCCUACACAUCAUAAGCCAUCUCACUGGCCCAGUGAAUUUUACUAGAAACUUUAAUAGCAGAUUUGGAGGGAAAGAUUACCACUUUUUUCCUUCAUCUUAAAAUGUUAUUUAAUGAGCAUAUAUGAUUAAAAAGGCAAAGUAGUUGACAUUUUUCUGAAUCAUCUCUAUAUGUGCUUCUCCAAUAGUGAAGGGAAGGAGAGCAUCUUAUUCUGGGCCUGUGUUGUCGUCUAAAACAGUAGCAACUAAGAAGUAGCAAUUUAAAUUUAAGUAAAAUCUAGUUUUUCAGUAACACUGACUACUCAGUCAUCAUCAAUGACUACAUAAGACACAAAGUAGAAUGUCUUCAACAUUAAAGAUGCCAUUGGAAAGAGCUGCCUUUUAAAAACUGAUACCAGUUGACCUACAGGGAAAAAAUUUUCUUGUCUAUGCUAAACCAGCAAUCUCAGAUCAUUAAGGAGGACUGUACUAAAGAAGGGAAUGCGGUCAUGGCUAAUGAGAAAGUGUGUCCUAAAUCAUAUGUGUUUGGGCUAGUGACUAUGGUGGAUGCUAUUUCCAGCAUCUAGUACAUUCACACAAACGUCACAUUUUAAAGGUUUGUGAACUUGAAAAAAACUAGAAUUUACUAUAAAAUGAGUGCUACUAGCAUCUAUCCUUCCUAGACAGUGUGUGUGUGUGUGUGUGUGUGUGUGUGUGUGUGUGUGUGUGCGUGCGUGUGUGUGAGUGUGUGUGUAUGUGUGUGUCUUUGUCUUGGGGAAACAGAAAGGGAAGAAACAAAAUAAGAAUUUGAGAAAAAUACAAUAUUUUUUUCUGGAAAAUAAGUCAAAGGAGUAAGUUCUUUUAAGAAAUUAGCACCUGAAACAAUAACAAAAUCCCGUAAGAUGAGAAUUUAGGAACAAAAUCCCACCCUGCUGUAUUUGAGAAGGAACUGGGUGAAGCGGUAAUGAUACAACUCACAAGCUAAUAGUAAAGGGAAGCUCGAGCUACAACACUUGUGCAGCUGAUAUUUCAUUACAGAUUACACAUUCCCUAUUAGGAUGUUUAUUUAAUAUUCUUGAUUUAUCCUCAUCAUUGGAAGAAGAUGUUCCAGUCAAUUUAAAAUUAAUAGACUGCCUUCCGUUUGAAUAUGCAGGCCAGAUUUUACUGAUGUGGUGUGAGUGCCACAAAAGACCAAUUAUCUCUGCUGAAGUAUGCUGAGAUCCUCGGGCCUUCUUCAAUGUUUUCUACCCUUGAGAUUCAAAACUGAACUUUUCUGCCAAGAAAAUUGAGACAGCAUAAAUUGCAGGCAUUAAGAAUUAAGCUGCACUAAAAGUAUUCCAGUUUUUCAUGGCUUUCUAUACAAUUCAAAAAUUAUAUCUACUUUUCAAGGUCACUAAAUAUUUCAUAAAGUUAAGGAUCCCAUCUCCAUAGUAAUUAAUAUCACUGGAUAACUGUUAUUAAGUAAAUGCUACACCAUAUUCCUUAAUGUUGACUUAGAGAUGCAGGGCAGCUAGAAAAACAAGCCUAGCUCCUGGGGUCAGAGGUCGGGAACUUAUUAUUACUUCUGUUGAUUCUAUAAAGCUGUUUGCACAUAUAUAAACGAAGCAUGCAGAAUAAUGUGUGCAUUAUUAGGUCACCUUUGCUGCAGAACACAGGAAGGUUGCUUUUCAUAGACUGUGGUCAAUGUUAGCAGGGAAAAUUACUUGAAACAGAGCCAGAGACAAGCAUCUUAUGAUUUUAAAAAAGAGAGCAUAAUAAGAUGGUCUCCCCAUAGAUCUAGCAAUGUAAACACACAGAUGUAACAUAUAUAAUUAUUUAUUUUAGCAAAAGAUGCUUAUAAAAAGAAUAUCUUAAAAUUUAAAAGAUAAUCAACUUUUAAUAUGAAAUAUAGGUUUUGGAUUUAUGACACUUGCGCCUAUCAUAUUAAGUACCAUGUCCAGAAGUCCUUCUGCCACUUUUAAAAUCAGACCCCAACACUGCCUUGUUGUGUGUUUACUCAAAUUACUUUUCUCCUCUUGGUGCCAAUGCUCUCCUGUCUAGGAUGUGAGUGAUGUGCCCACUGCACAGUGCUGUUGGAGAGAUAGAAUGUGCAGUGCCCAUGUGGACUGUGAAAGCUAGAUGUACAUUUAGCUGUUGCUGUCCUCUUUGUUUCACACUGGGUAAUGUAGACUGUUGGAAGUAUACUGUUGGCCAGACACGUAUAACGUGCUUACAUUUUUCCACUUUUAAUUAAUAAAGAAGCUAUUAGCAAGAAUUAAUAUCUCUUCAAUAUUCCAGAAAUGUGUAUGAAUAUUAAAAACUACACUACAUAAUUUUAAACGGCAAUUUGAAUAGAAAUAUCCAGCAUGUGUUAACAAUGCUAUUCCCAAAACACAAAAUUUAUUAAAUGAAAAUCUCAGUGCCAGGCACAGGAUACCUCCCCAAGAGUUACUUGUCAGGGAGGCCUCAGAGAUAUCCAAUAUAACACAGGCUGUUGUCUGUCCACCAGAACUAGAUGGUAAGACCCUAUUCUGAAAGAUACCACUCAAUUUGGAAACGGAACAUAGAGAAAUAUAUCUUGAGUUGACUAGAAAACUGUUUCUGCUUACCUUACAUGGUUCAGGAAGGUACCAUGAAGGCAGCUGCAGGAGAAAAGGCACCAGUGAUUGUAUGCAGUUUUGACCAAGCAUACUACCACAUAGAGCUUUGAGCUACUGGCAAGAUGUGCCCACUGGUAUACCAGUGGCAUGAAAGUUACAAGGACUUUUAAGGCAUGCUUCACAGGAAGAACCUCACACCUGGUAUUGUAAACUUUGUCAAAAACCUGAACUGGGGAGAUCAUAGGCCUUUGCAGUGACCUUCUGUUAUUGUUAAAUUAAUCAUACUGUUAAACUGUAUUCCAAAUAUUUAUUUUUAUGCCCAUAUACUUUCACUGCUCUCAACUUAGGUCAGAGAAACUUCUCUUUAUAGUAGGUACAGCUAAUGAAGAAGCCUGUAACUCUUCAAAGUGCCAAUUUUGAGUAAGUUGAUUUUCAUCUGUGUGUACUCAUCUGUAUCAAACUCUCCCAGCAAGGCCCCGAGAACAUUGUAAAAGAAGGAAUGUAAGUACAUAUGGACAGGGAAAGAGCUGUGAAGCCAACUUCUUAGACAUUCUGUGGCUCGUACCAACUCCCAGAAGCUGUGGUUAUCUAUACAAGAUCAAGCCAGUUAAAGUCCACUGCAUCAGGAAGGAUCACCAGAGGCCUCAUCCCUACCAGAGGAGCUAAUUGACAAUUGACAACUGUCAAAGAAAGGAGAGUUAUUCUCCUUUGGGGAUGUGGCUACUGGUAUGUUGCUCAGGUCCCAAUGGAUGGCCACACACUUAUGUGCAUAUGGGCAGCACAAAUUAGAUUCAGGGAGUUAUUAGUAACAAGAAGAUAAAAGAGGACAUGAAGCUGGGAGGGAAAUGGGCUGGGAAUACCAGAGGUUAAAAGGGGUAGUAGUGGAUAGAUAUGAUCAUUAUGCCUAUAUAAUCACACAGAACCCCAAAUAAUAAAAAUGAGGUCAUUAGAAAAAUGAAGCUACACAAAUCCCCAUACAUCUUUACCACUUUCGUAAGGAACUAUGAUGCUUAGGGUUUUGUUGUCAACUUGUCACAGCAGGAUAUCUGUGAAGAAGGAGCCUCAACUGAGAAAAUGUCUCCAUAAGACUGGCCUGUAGGCAAGUCUAUAGGAGCGUUUUCAAGACUAAUAGGGCUGUGGAAGGGCCCAGCAGACAAUAGGUGAUGCAGCUCUUGGCAAAUAAUCCUGGGUUGUAUAAGAAGGGAAGCUAAGCAAGCCACAGAGAGCGAGCCUAUCAGCAGUGCCCUCCCUUGGUUCCACUUCAGUUCCCAUCUCCAAGCUCCUUCCUUGGGUUCCUGUCCUGACUUCCCUAAGUUAUAAACUAUAACUACCCAAAAUGGUAAGAUGAAAUAAACACUUUUUGUUCUAAUUGCCUUUGGUCAGUAUUUUAUCACAACAACAGAAAGAAAACUAGGGUAGUAGUUGAAAAGCCAACUCAUUCGUCCUCUGGUGCAAAUAAAUUACACAUUGUGUAGUUUACACAGAAAGAAAGGAAAACAGAAGGGUUCUACUAAUUAAAAGAAAAACCAGCUAAAAUACUAGUAUCUAUGCCCACCAUUACCAGCAUACAGAUGGCUAACUAUGUUCUUUCUUGUGACCAAGGAUUCUAGACAACAUUCAUCAACAAAAAACAUUUCCCCAAAUGGAAGGAGCCAUUUUUUUCCCCGAUAAACCCUUCUCUAUCAUAAUGUUUUUUCUUCUUUAUUCCUCAACUCGGUGAAUGUUAAUUGCAGGCAUCUUUUGCUAUCUUUCUCUAUUUCUUUCACUAUUAAUGAUGUGCCAAAUAUUAUAUAAACCUAAGUGCUCCUCUUGGAUGGAGUGGCAGGUAGAGGAGGAAGAACAAGAAUAUCAGUUCCCAUCCUGAAAGAGCAAUGUACAAAUUAUUGGACAGGUAGGCCAGUGUCAUGUCUCUCAUGCACCGCUCAAGUUAGGAAUAUAGUGGCUAAAGCAAUAUAAAUGAUUUUUAAAAUGUCAAACAUAGUAUAAAACAAAUUACAUUUUUCUCCAAAAUAGAAGUAAUCCUUAAGGUGAAAAAUGAUGUUUUCAGCAUUAGUUAACUAUAAAUAUUAACAUGGUUUAUUAAAACCUAAAAAUAAGUAAAAUCCUUUUAAGUAACUGUGCAUAGCUGAUUUUGAAGUUCUGAGCAUGCUUCAGUUGAAUCAAACAUUAUCUAAUAAAGGAAGGAGUAAACAAUAUAUACUGAGUGCAUAGACAGGAGGAAUAAGAUGGUUUGACAGGAGUUUUGUCUUCUUUAUGUUGUCUUGUACAAAUGGGGUGGGGGUACUUAACCAAAGUAUAGUGAACCAUCUGUACAUGCUGGAGGCUUUGUCUUUUAGGCUAAAAGUAAAGUAUUUGGGACAUUCAAUGAAGGUCCACAAAUCAUCAAAAUAAACCAAUAUUCAUAAGGAUUGACAUGAAAAGUGUAUCCUUAGCUACUUCAUUCUUAACAGCAGUAAUCUUAAUACAAUAUGAUUAGAACAAUAAUCAUAUUAGUCAGCUCUCCCUACUGUAAUAAGAUACAAGUUAAAGCAACCCCAAUUUGAAACUUCAAAUUCCAAAUGCUGUAAAAUCCUAAAUAUAUGUUGCUCAAAAUGUUUGGGUCUUACAGCAUUCCGAAUCUCAGAUACUCUAAUUAGAGACAUUUAACCAGUAUAGUUAAUACAAACAUUGCAAAAUGAAAACUACAAGUUAAAGCAUUUACUGUGGCCCUACGCUUUCCAGAAGGAAUCCUACUAGUUACUUCUUUAGUGGCUAUAACAAAACACCAGCCCAAUGCAACUAGAUAGGAAAGGGUUGAAGUAAUGCCAGCAGGAGACUGAAGAAGCUGGCGGACUUGGAUCCUCAGACAGGAAGCACAGGAUGAUGAAUCCCAGUUUUUGGUUCCCUUUGUCCUUUGUUUUUCAGCCCAGGAACCACUCCAUGGGACAGUGCCACUCCCAGUCAAGGUGACUCUUCCAUUUCCCUAACCUAAUCUAGACAAUGCUCACAGGCAUGUGCAGAUACUAACUAAUGUAGAUGAUUGCACACAUGCAUAUGGUCCACUCUAAGUCCUGUCAUGCUAACAACCAAGAUAAUCUGACAGGGAUGUUCAACUUGUUAGACUGGUUGCUUGAAUAACAACCAAAACCACAUACAUAUUUUCUUAGACUCCUGGUGGUAGGUAUCCAAACUCUGUGUGCCAGCAAGGUGCAAAUUAUGAGGUCCUCUGGCUUCUAGAUAGCUGUUAUCAUCUGUCCUCACACGGCAAGGAGAGAACAAGCGCAGGCUUUGUGGUAUCUCUUCUUAUAAAGUCUCUAGUCUCAUAAGGGCUCCAGCUUCAUGACUUCCUCCUACUAUAACUACCUCCAACAACACCAUCUCUAAAUGACAUCAAAUCGAGGGCUCAUUCCUUAACAGUAAUUGAGGGAAGAGUAGACAAGAUUGAGUCCAUAACUGCAAAUGACAUUGGACUGGCAUGGAAAGUCAUCCUGAGCACUUGGCAAUGCAUGGAAAUUGAUUAUCAACAUUAAUUUCUGUUCAUAAAGCAUGAUAUUAUAAAAGAAAGAGCCACAAAACAUUAGAUUAGCAGGACCCGAGUCUCCUCCUGAGGACAGAUGAAGAGGAAAUUUCCUUCUGGUUCCUCUAUCUAGGAAAGGUAUUAGAUAAGUAAUGCUCAUAAACCAUCGAGCUCUUUUUUAACAUGGCCACCUUACUGCAUAGGUUAUGGGUUUGAAAUGACGGAAAAGUAACACACUGUUGAUUAUAAACAAAUUACAUAAAAUACAAAAAUUACCCUUCUGAGAAACAGUAACAAUUUGUUACUUAAGACAUAAAGGUAAAUUUUCCCACCUGCUCUACACUUUUUUUUACAGGCCAAACCUAGCAGGAAUCUCUAAUUAUCAUAGCAGUGGGAUGGCUUAACAAGGGUGUCACUGGCUCAAAAAUGCAAUUUGAUUCUCAGCAUGACAGCAAGAAUGGCAAUUUACAACCUCCAGCCAGUAUGUAUGAAUAUUAAGAUUUUGAUAAUUUACACAAUAGAGAGCUUAUUGCUCUUGGACUGGUUGGAACAUCAGAAAGAGAUCUUUUUAGGGCCCUUACAUUAACACUACAUUUAUUACCUUGUGCUACAUUUCAGGUACAAAAAUUCAUAGUAGUCCAUCGAUACUGGGGCAUCCUUGUUACUAUAGCUUCUGUGUUCACACUAGGGUCAUAGUUUGCUUAAAUAAAUAUCCUGAACUAAAAAAAAAAAAUCAAGUCAUUGGGCAAAUGCCCAAAUUACAAAUAGUAUUGUGAGUAUUGUGUUAUAUAUGUUUAAAUUUCACCAUCAUAACAAUGACUUUUAUAAAAACACAAAACAUAAUUCCUUCUAUUUGAGGUUUAAGAACAAGCAAAAUUAAUCUAUAGUGAGAUGUCAAAAGUAAUUAUGAACACUGAAAUUUGAAACUUUUUGAAUGUUGGUUCAAAGAAUUUUGUAUUUUGGAGCAUUUGGAUUUCAGAUUUUCAAAUUAAGAAGGCUUAACUAGCAAAGUCUAUGGAGAUAUUCUAAAAGCCAAACUCCUUCUAAAUGUUAACUCUUACAGUCUUGAACACAAGGCACUGUCAGUUAGCAUUCAAUGAGUGAGAAGCUUCAUGAGUUAGAAAUAUUGUACAUCUCAAUAUAGAUGGUCAGAACAUGAGUAUAUGCAUGCAGAAAUAUCUCUAUAGGCAAGACUCACAAAUUUCAGUAUCUGCAAUUUUUAUCUUAAUAAAAAUGGACAAAAACACACACCAAAUGUUAGGUAACUUUCUAAUAAAAAUAAAGAAUAGAACAAAGAUGUUAGACAACUAUCUAAUAAAUAUACAACUCCCAUCAUCUUCCAUAAAACAAAAUUUUCAGUGGCAACUACACUUGAAUAAGUACCAAGUGUUUAUACCUUUAGUGGGUUUUAAAACCCAUCUCCUUGUGUAGCAGUGUUACAUAUUUUACAUCUCAAUGUGGCCACAACUCCUAAUCCUCCUGCCAAGAUCCCCACAUAAGCCAGCUAUUGAUAAAACAAUUGCCACUCCUGUAAGGAGUUUUAUUUAUUCUCUUUGCUUAUCAGCUUAAUACGUAGGAGAUAUACACUUGAAAAGGAUCAGGUUUUGCUGCAAACAGGACUAAAUGAUUAUGGAGUGGGCAUCUUAUAAUUGUGUUUUUGCUUUCCUUGGUUGUUUCUCAAGGACUAUGAAAGAAAUUGAACCAUAAAGCUUAACCUGACAUAAAGGUGUUAGCCUACAACAUUAAACCACACAGAUAAGCGAGACAGUUAUUUUAUGAGAAAAAAAGCACUGUUCCCCAUUAUCCUUUUGAGAUUUUAUAAAGGGACUAAAUAUGAUGCAUUUCUAAGUCAUGUAUCCCCUACUUCCUGUAUUUGUAAACAGGAGUAUGUUUUUGCUGCCCCUAAUUUGUCAAGAUCAGGUGAACAGAAUGGUUUUACAGAGCACAGGCUUCAUUCCUACAAGGGCUGUGCAGCCCUUCUGUGAUUAAUAAUUUAUGGUUCUUUCUUGGUUCACCUCAGGGGAAUCACUCAGAGGGCACCAUUCUUAUUGAGAGAAGUUAAAUACCCACACAAACAAACAAGCACAAGUCAAAUAAGAAGCCUCCUAUGAAUCUGGUCAUUCAUUGCCCAUCACAGAGUACCAACAAAGGUUAGCUAAUAAAAAAUGCUCGCCAGCCUAUUCUAGUACGAACACUGCAAGCUGAGCUGAGCCCACCCAUUUUAAAAUUUGUGCCUAUCACAUUAAUGCAGACAUUUUCUUUAACAUUAUUCAGAUACACUGUGCAUUGAAGUUGUAGGUGUUUAAGAGUGCUGCUGACUGAGUUAGUUCCUCGAACUAACAUUUCUGACAAGAAUAUGACACCUAAUCUUAGGCUCCAACAUUGCAUAUUCUCUUCAAGGAGAUACGAAUGGAUCCAAAUAUCUUUAUCACUGAGAAGAAACAAGUUUUCAGGAAAUGGAAUAUCGUGUUUGAUGAACCUCCCCAAUAAGUAAAGAACCACUGGGUGAAAUUCAGUAGAGAAUAAACAAUGAAUUUCAUCUCAAGUAAUGGGAUCAGAAGCCUAUAUGAGAAGUCCAGCAAGAGAUGUAGUAGGGCAGACUUUAUGUCCUAUGACUACUUAUCCUGUUUAAAGGAAAUUUUAAAAACAAGACAAAACCAACACAAAGCAAAAUAUGCGUAAGUCAAACACACACAUGUUGAGUAACCAACUUCAGAACUGUAACAUAUAUCAGAAGUCUUUAUUCUAAGGCAAAAGGAAUCAGAAAAUAAUACACAUCCCCUGAGUAAAAGAUAUUUCAUUUAUAUUACAAAACAUAUAUUUUAAAAGUACAUUUGACAUUUUUUAGAAUAUGUGCCAAAUAGUUACAAGUGAAUUUUAAACUUUCCAAAAUUCAGUAAAACUAUCUUGUUCUAGCUAAAAUAACACCUGUUCAACGGGCGAUGGAGUUGUUGGGUUUUUUUUAAUAUUUUAUCCUUUCUAGAGAUUUCCUGCAUGUAUACAAACACCCCAAAUUAACUGUGUCCCCACUUUGGGCUGUGCCUAUGAUGCUCUUAAACACUCAGUAGACAUUAGCACUCUACUUCCACAGUCUGUGCAAUGGGUCCUAUUCUUACUUCCCUAUUUCAGACAGGAACUCAAGCAAACACAGAAUGGUUAAGUGGUUUGCUCACUGAUCAACAGCCUGAAUAGGCAGUUGCUAUUCAACCUCAGUAGCCUGAUACAGAGCCGGUGCACUUGUGUCCUGACUCUCAUUGUCUAUUACACAAGAGCACUGCUCAUGUAAUUCCACAUGUGAGCAUUAUCACGUAAAGGGAGUUGUUUUCAUUUAUGAGUGGAAUAGAAGUUGUUUUCAAGGGGACACAUUUUUCCAUGAAAAGCAAAAACAAAAACAAAAAAUCAAAAUUUACCACCUAUAUCAGACCUCAAUUAUGCUUCCUGUGCCAUCCACCUAACAUACCAUGAAGGGGCACAGAAAGAAUAAACCUGGACACCAGCAAAAACAUGUGAAAUCUCUGAUAUCAGGAGAAAGAGAUAUCACAGGCUGAUGAAGAGCGGGAAGGCCAACUAGGAAGCAAAAGAAAUCAAUAACCUCAUGCUCUUUCUUUUUUCUAAUUACUUAAAAUGGAUAUCUCCAGAAUCUCUUGUUCCUUUAAAAUCCUAUCAAAUAAGGACUUUAUUUUUCUUUCUCUUUUAUUAAUAGGAUUAUCUUAAAAUAAGGAUAAAAAUUAAAAACUCUUUGAAAAUAUUAGAAUUUUCUCUUCUAAUAAUUUCAAUAAUAAAUGCUAUUGAUUCUUUUUUAAUUUUUUAUUAUAUAUUUCUUUACUUACAUUUCAAAGGUUAUUCCCCUUCCCGGUUUUCAGUUCAUAAGGCCCCCAUUCCUUCCCCUCACUCUCCCCCAUAUGGGUAUUCCUCCUAUAUCCCCCUUAUUGCCCUCUCCCAUAUUCCCCUGCACUGGUGGUCCAACCUUGGCAAGACCAAAGGAUUCCCCUUUCAUUGGUGCCCCAACAAGGCUAUUCUGUGCUACAUAUGCAGUUGGGGCCCUGGGUCAGUCCAUGUAUGGUCUUUCAGUAGUAGUUUAGUCCCCGGAAGCUCUGGUUGGUUGGCAUUGUUGUUUUUAUGGGGUUGCAAGCUCCUUCAACUCUUUCAAUACUUCCUCUAAUUACCCCCAACGGGGUCCUAUUCUCAGUUUGGUGAUUUACUGCUAGCAUUGACCUUUGUAUUGGACAUGCUCUGGAUGUGUCUCUCAGGAGAGAUCUAUAUCCAGUCCCUUUCUGCAUCCAUUUUUUAGCUUCAUCAAUCUUAUCUAGUUUUGGUGGCUGUAUAUAUAUGGGCCACAUGUGUGUCAGACUCUGAACGGCCAUUCCUUGAGUCACUGCUCUAAACUUUGCUUCCAUAUCCCCUCCUAUGAAUAUUUUCCCCCUUUUAAGAAGGAGUGGGAGCAUCUGCAUCUUGGUCAUCCUUCUUCUUCAGCUUCCUGUGGUCUGUAGAUUGCAUCUUGGGUAAUUUGAGCUUUUUUUGGCUAAUAUCCAUUUAUCAAUGAGUGCAUACCAAGUGUGUUUUUCUGUGAUUGAGUUACCUCACUCAGGAUGAUAUUUUCUAGUUCAUUCCAUUUGCCUAUGAAUUUCAUGAAGUCAAUGUUUUUGAUAGCUGAGUAGUACUCCAUUGUGUAGAUGUACCACAUUUUUUUAAUCCAUUUCUCUGUUGAAGGGCAUCUGGGUUCUUUCCAGCUUCUGGCUAUUAUAAAUAAGGCUGCUAUGAACAUAGUGGAGCAUGUGUCUUUGUUGUAUGUUGGAGCAUCUUUUGGGUAUAUGCACAAGAGAGGUAUAGCUGGGUCCUCAGGUAGUGUAAUGUCCAAUUUUCUGAGGAACAUCCAUACUGAUUUCCAGAGUGGUUGUACCAGUUUGCAAUCCUACCAUCAAUGGAGGAGUGUUCUUCUUCCUCCACAUCCUCCACCUCCACAUCCCCACAUCUCCACAUCCAGCAUCUGCUGUCACCUGGGUUUUUUAUCUUAGCCAUUCUGACUGGUGUGAGGUGGAAUCUCAGGGUUCUUUUGAUUUGCAUUUCCCUGAUGACUAAGGAUGUUGAACAUUUCUUUAGGUGUUUCUCAGCCAUUCGAUAAUCCUCAGCUGAGAAUGUUUUGUUUAGCUCUGUACCCCAUUUUUAACAGGGUGAUUUGGAUCUCUGCAGUCUAACUUCUUGAGUUCUUUGUAUAUUUUGGAUAUUAGCCCUCUAUCUGAUGUAGGAUUGGUAAAGAUCUUUUCCCAAUCUGUUGGUUGCUGUUUUGUCCUAAGAACAGUGUCUUUUGCUUUACAAAAGCUUUGCAGUUUUAUGAGGUCCAUUUUUGUUGAUUCUUGAUCUUAGAGCAUAAGCCAUUGGUGUUUUGUUCAGGAAAUUUUCCCCAGUGCCCAUGUGUUCCAGAUGCUUCCCCACUUUGUUUUCCUAUUAGUUUGUGUGUAUCUGGUUUGAUGUGAAGGUCCUUGAUCCGCUUGGACUUAAGCUUUGUUCAUUGUGAUAAGAAUUGAUCAAUUUGCAUUCUUCUACAUGCUGACCUCCAGUUGAACCAGCACCAUUUGUUGAAAAUAUUAUUUUUCUUCCACUGGAUGGUUUUAACUCCUUUGUCAAAGAUCAAGUGGCUAUAGGUGUGUGGGUUCAUUUCUGGGUCUUCAAUUCUGUUCCACUGAUCUACCUGCCUGUCUCUGUACCAAUAACAUACAGGUUUUAUGACUAUUGCUCUGUAAUACUGCUUUAAGUCAGGGAUGGUGAUUCUCCCAGAAGUUCUUUUAUUGUUGAGGAUAGUUUAUGCUAUCCUGGGUUCUUGUUAUUCCAAAUACAUUUGAAAAUUGCUCAUUCUAUCUCUAUAAAGAAUUGAGUAGGGGUUGGGGAUUUAGCUCAGUAGUAGAGUGCUUGCCUAGCUAGUGCAAGGUCCUGGGUUUGGUCCCCAGCUCCGAAAAAAAAAAGGAAGAAAAAAAAAAAAAGAAUUGAGUAGGAAUUUUGAUGGGGAUUGCAUUGAAUCUGUAGAUUGCUUUUGGCAAAAGGGCCAUUUUUACUAUAUUAAUCCUGCCAAUCCAUGAGCAUGGGAGAUCUUUCCAUCUUCUGAGGUCUUCCUCAAUUUCUUUCUCCAGAGAUUUGAAGUUCUUGUCAUACAAAUCUUUCACUUACUUGGUUAAAGUCACACCAAGAUAUUUUAUGUUAUUUGAGACUAUUGUGAAGGGUGUCAUUUCCUUAAUUUCUUUCUCAGCCUGUUUAUCCUUUGAGUAGAGGAAGGCUACUGAUUUAUUUGAGUUAAUUUUAUAUCCCGACACUUUGCUGAAGUUAUUUAUCAGGUUAAGUAGUUCUCUGAUGGAACUUUUGGGGUCGCUCAAGUACAAUAUCAUAGCAUCAGCAAAUAAUGAUAUUUUGAUUUCUUCCCUCCCAAUUUGUAUCCUUUUGACCUCAUUUUGCUGUCUGAUUGCUCUGGCUAGGACUUGAGUACUAUAUUGAAUAAGUAGGGAGAGAUUGGCAGCCUUGUCUAGUCCCUGAUUUUAGUGGGAUUGCCUCAAGUUUCUCUCCAUUUAGUUUGAUGUUAGCUACUGGUUUGCUGUAUAUUGCUUUUACUAUGUUUAGAUAUGGGCCUUGAAUUCCUGAUCCUUCCAGGACUUUUAUCAUGAAGGGUUGUUGAAUUUUGUCAAAUGCUUUCUCAGCAUCUAAUAAAAUGACCAUGUUGUUCUUAUUUUUGAGUUUAUUUAUAUAGUUGAUUACAUUGAUGAAUUUUCAUAUAUUAAACCAUCCCUGAAUCCCUGAGAUGAAGGAUCAUAAUGGAUGAUCAUUUUGAUAUGUUCUUGGAUUCGGUUUGCAAGAAUUAUAUUGAGUAUUUUUGCGUUAAUAUUCAUAAGGGAAAUUGGUCUCAAGUUCUCUUUCUUAUUUGGGUCUUUGUGUGGUUUUGGUAGAAGAGUAAUUGUGGCUUCAUAGAAGGAAUUUCAUUGAGCUCUGUCUGUUUCAAUUUUGUGGAAUAGUUUGGAUAGUAUUGGUAUGAGUUCUUCUAUGAAGGUCUGAUAGAAUUCUGCACUGAACCCAUCUAGACCUGGGCUCUUUUUGGUUGGGAGACUUUAAUAACUGCUUCUAUUUCUUUAGGAGUUAUGGGGUUGUUUAGAUGAUUUAUUUGUUGCUGAUUUAACUUUGGUACCUGGUAUCUGUCUAGAAAAAUUGCCCAUUUCCUCCAGAUUUUCCAGUUUUGUUGAAUAUAGGCUUUUGUAGCUGAUGAUUUUUUUCAACUUCCUCAGAUUCUGUUAUUCUGUCUCCCUUUUCAUUUCUGAUUUUUUUAAUUUGGAUACACUCUCUUUGUCCUCUAAUUAGUCUGGCUAAGGGUUUAUCUAUCUUGUUGAUUUUCUCAAAGAACCAGCUCCUGCUUUUGUUGAUUCUUUGUAUAGUCUUUUUCAUUUCUACUUGGUUGAUUUCAGCUCUGAGUUUGAUUAUUUCCUACCUUCUACUCCUCUUGGGUUUAUUUAUUUCUUUUUGUUCUAGAGCUUUAAGGUAUGCUGUCAAGCUACUGACAUAUGCUCUCUCCUGUUUCUUUUUUCAGGCACUCAGAGCUAUGAGUUUUCCUCUUAGUACCACUUUCAUUGUGUCCAAUAAGUUUGGGAAUGUUGUAUCUUCAUUUUCAUUAAAUUCUAAGAAGUCUUUAAUUUCUUUCUUUAUUUCUUCCUUGACCAACUUGUCAUUGAGUAGAGCAUUGUUCAACUUCCAUGUAUAUGCAGGCUUUUGGUCAUUAUUGUUGUUAUUGAAGACCAGUCUUAGUGCGUGGUGGUCUGAUAGGAUACAUGGGAUUAUUUCUAUCUUCCUGUAUCUGUUGAUGCCUGUUUUGUGACCGAUUAUAUGGUCAAUUUUGGAGAAGAUUCCAUGAUGUACUGAGAAGAAGGUAUAUCCUUUUGUUUUAGGAUGGAAUGUUCUGUAAAUAUCUGUUAAGUCCAAUUGGUUCAUAACUUCUGUUAGUUUCUCCACAUCUCUGUUUAAUUUCUGUUUCCAUGAUCUGUCCAGUGAUGAAAGCGGGGUGUUGAAAUCUCCUACUAUUACCGUGUGAGGUGCAAUGUGUGCUUUGAGCUUUAGUAAGGUUUCUUUUAUGAAUGUAGGCGCCCUUGUAUUUGGAGCAUAGUUAUUUAGGAUUGAGAGUUCAUCUUGGUAGAUUUUUCCUUUGAUGAAUAUGAAGUGUCCUUCCUUACCUUCUUAAUGACUCUUGUUUGAAAAUCAAUUUUAUUUGAUAUUAGAAUGGCAACUCCAGCUUGUUUCUUCGGGCCAAGAAACAAUGCUUGGAAAAUUGUUUUCCAGGCAUUUACUCUGAGAUAGUGUCUGUCUUUGUCUCUGAGGUAUGUUUCCUGCAUGCAGCAAAAUGCUGGGUCCUCUUUACAUAUCCAGUCUGUUAGUCUAUGUCUUUUUAUUGGGGAAUUGAGUCCAUUGAUGUUGAGAGAUAUUAUGGAAUAGUGAUUGUCACUUCAUGUUAUUUUUGUUUUUAGAGGUGGAACUAUGUUUGUUUGUCUCUCUUUUGGUUUCAUUCCAAGGAAAUUAUGUUCUUGCUUUCUGUAUGGUGUAGUUUCUCUCCUUGUGUUGGAAUUUUCCAUCUAUUAUCCUUUGCUUUGUAGGGCUGGAUUUGUAGAAAGAUAUUGAGUAAAUUUGGUUUUGUCAUGGAAUAUCUUGGUUUCUCGUCUAUGUUAAUUGAAAGUUUUGCUGGAUACAGUAACUUGGGCUGGCAUUUGUGUUCUCUUAGGGUCUAUAUGACAUCUGUCCAGGAUCUUCUGGCUUUCAUAGUCUCUGGUGAGAAGUCUGGUAUAAUUCUUAUUGGUCUGCCUUUAUAUGUCACUUGACCUUUUUCCCUUACUGCUUUUAAUAUUUUCUUUGUUUUGUGCAUUUGGUUUUUUAACUAUUAUGUGACAGGAGGAAUUUCUCUUCUGGUCCAAUCUAUUUGGAGUUCUGUAGGCUUCUUGUAUGUUUAUGGGCAUCUCUUUCUUUAGGUUAGGGAAGUUUUCUUCUAUAAUUUUGUUGAAUAUAUUUACUGGCUCCUUAAGUUGGGAGUCUUCACUUUCUUCUAUACCUAUUAUCCUUAAGUUUGAUCUUCUCAUUGUGUCCUGGAUUUCCUGUAUGUGUUGGGUUAGGAGCUUUUUUACGUUUUACAUUAUCUUUGACAGUUGUGUCGAUGUUUUCUAUGGAAACUUCUGCCCCUGAGAUUCUCUCUUCUAUCUCUUGUAUUCUGUUGUUGAUGCUUGUAUCUACGGCUCCUAGUCUCUUCCUUUGGUUUUCUAUAUCCAGGGUUGUCUCCCUUUGUGCUUUCUUUAUUGUUUCUAUUUCCCUUUUCAAUUCCUCCACCUGUUCGGUUGUGUUUUCCUGUAAUUCUUUUAGUGAUUUUUGUGUUUCCUCUCUAAGGGCUUCUACUUGUUUACUUGUGCCUUCCUGUAUUUCUCUAAGGGAGUUCUUUAUGUCUUUCUUAAGGUCCUCCAUCAUUAUCAAAAACUGUGAUUUCAAAUCUAACUCUUGCUUUUCUGGUGUGUUUGGAUAUCCAGUAUUUUCUUUGGUGGGAGGAUUGGGCUCUGAUGAUGCCAAUCUAGGUUUCUGUUGAUUAGGUUCCUGUCCUUGCCUCUAGCCAUUGGGUCAUCUCUGGUGUUUGCUUGUCUUGCUGUUUCUGGAAGUGACUUGGCCCUCUGUCAGCAAUCAUGUAGAACUGUUUUCCUGUUUUCUUUCAGCCUUUCCUGAGAACAGGUGCUCUGCUCUCAGCUAUGGCGGUGCUCCUGGAGAAUGUUUUCCAGCUCUAGGCACAGGCAGGAAUCAAAGGGUCCUGCCCCUGAUUGCUCAUGUAGAUCCUUGCACCCAGCGGGCACAGUUAGCAGUAUGCAAUUCCCUCUUGGGUCUGGACUGUGGGCAGAGGGUAUUUUCCUUUGACUUCUCAGGAGUAUCCAUACUUCUGAGGUUCCAGCUUUCCCUCCCCGCCCCCACCCGUGGGAUUUGGGUGCAGGGAGCUGUUUGGCCAGAUCAGUUCGGUCCUGGGCACAGACCAGAACCACGAGUACUGGCGGCUGUCUGUUCCUAUAUCCCACUGUCCAGAGGCACUGUGCAGUUUCCCCUUGGACCAGGGAUGUGGGCUAAGGUGUGCAGAGGUAGCAUUCUGUCCUGUAGCCUCGGGAUGUCUGCACUCCUGGGUGGUCUGCUCUCCAAUGUAAUCCUAUGAUUACAAAAUGGCUCUUCAGAGAACUCAGUCUUGGCACUAAAUACCAUGCAUGCCUCAUACUACCACUUAUUCCUCUGUUCAUGUGUUAUUUCUUAUUAUGUGUUCUCACAAAAAUCAAAACUUUAAAAGUGAAUAGUUUUAUACUCUAUAUAUGAUAAAUAUAUUAUAAAUAAUAUUUUCAUAGGGACAUAAAAAGCUUCUUGAACAAAUGUCCUUGUUUAUCCAAAAUUGUAGGUAGAAGUGAAAAGCUAGAACAUUCUGGACAGGUAGUUAGAAAAAUAGUUUCCCAAUGUAUACUUAUUGCUUAAAAAAAGUAGCAAAGUGACCAAGAUGGUCUAAACUUGUCAUCUCCCCCAUGAAUGCCAGGACCAAGAAGCUAGCUGUACUGCUAGACCUCUUCCCAGCAUGGGCCUCCCUGUAAUUCUGCUCCAAUCGGCCCAUAUGCCAAGCUGACCAUCGGUCACACACACACGAAUGCCAGUGCCCUGGGAGUUGAUGCAAACAUAUUCAGUAUGACCUACCACUACAGCCCAGGAAGAGCUGAGAAACUGAGAGAGAACACAGCUAUGAACAGAGGAAGCCCCCCUCCCUAAGGUUCACAGUAAAUAUGUAAAAUACAAUCAUAAUCAAAUGCUUUAGCAUAAAAUAUUUUUCAGUUAAUUAAAAAUAGGAUGCUUAUAUCACCCCACCUAACAGAUUAGUAAGUAAACUUUUAUAUAAUUCCAAGUCAUGUUCCAAGAAAAGAAAAGUGGGCUUGAAGACAGUAAAAUAAAUAAUGUGGCUAAAUGCAUCCAUAAUUUUGUGUUUGACCAGUCUUCUCACUGCAUUUCCCAAAAUAAAAGAGGUUUGGAUAACAGCAGAAAGAUCCAGGUGUGCUUUAUCCCAUGAAAGAGUCAGAAGUCUUACUAUAAAAAAGUAACUUUGUUAUUGCACUGUCUUUCCAGAAUUUCUCAAGUUCAGUUGAGCACACCUAACUUUAUAUUGGGGGAAAGACAGGAGAGUUGGUUUUAGAUGAAGUCACACACAGUUCAGGUUGGUCCUGAACUCUGUUUGUGCUUCUAAUUGUUGAGGGUUGUGAUUACAGGUAUGAUCCACCGUGCUCAGGCCCAUAACAUAUUUAUUGUACAAUAACAUUUUUGGAACUAAUGUUUCAUAAAUAUUUGUUGAAAUGUAUUUGGUGUCUCCAAGUUAGUAGAUAUUUCUUUAUAUAUUGACUUAUUUUCUCCUAGAACAAGUAUUUAGGGUGUGAAAAGUUUCUGUCAAACAAACAGUCAAUAAAAAUACAACCUGUCAUCACUUAAGAGACAUGGAAAAGUACUCAGUCUCACUGAAGCAGCAGGAGAAGCUUCAGGUACUGUGGGUGGGAAACAUGAAAUAUUUUUUCUUAUUUUAGACACAGGGGUUAACUUUAUAGCCAUGGCUGUCCUGAAGCUUGUUAUAGAGACAACCUGGCCUUAGAUUCAUAGACAUUCUCCUGUCUCUGCCUUCCAAGUGCUUGGAUUAAAGGCAUGUGCCACCAUGACUGGCUGACAUCUUAUGAGCAAAUACCUGGGACUAUUACAUUUUUUAGUUGGCUUGUGUCUCCCUUCUGUAGUUCACAAGUAAAUAGGUAGCAGCAUUUUCAUGGACAGCUACGAUUCCAUAAGGUCAGAUUGAAAACCUGGUUUACUAUUGCUUUAUUUCCAAGACCAUUAUCCAGACAGCCUAUGAGAUCAGACAUUUUUUCCCUGUGCAGCUAAAUAAAAUAGUGGUUUCAGCAUAACAGACAUCAACUCAAAAUGGCUAAAUGCAGUAUUUUUUUUUUCAGUUUGUUGAUGAUGACUAUUCCCUGGCUAAGAGAUUGGGAUGUCUGACCAACUUAACCUUGUGCCAUUUAAAAGCCCACAGAUGCUUGAGUAACGUGGCAGUCUUACCUUUCUUUCAGAUCCUAUCUACCACCUUACAAUGUCCACCACUAAUGUAGUAGCGUCCUGUGUGGAGGAGGUUGCUGUCUACCCAAACACCCAUUCUAUAUUUGGGAGAAUCACCGCAGCAUGUCGUCAUGUGUAUAUUUGACACCAAGAAAUGGUUUCCUCAAGUAUUUCUUUGAGCAUUCUACAUGUGGACCUAUCUCUUACAAGCACAUGAGGGUAAUGACAUAAUCAAAUCUUAUUCUUCUAGUACCAAAAUAUGUACUACUAAUCAUUUUUGCCUUCAAUAAACUUUGAUUAUUGACAUGCAGAUCUUGCAAAAUAUUCAGAUCACUCUUUUGAAUCUGAGAUAUUACUCUCACAUGAGUCUUUAAUUGCAGUCUCCAUUGAAGAGCUACCUAUGGAGGUGUGUAGUGGGUGAGUCAUUCAAACAAGAGGCAAAGUGCCAAGGAGUCAGUUAACACAACUUGCUUAUGAAUCUUAAACAUGUACAUAUACUAUGGCCAUAACCUAAAUCUGUGCCUGCUUAACCUGUGCAGCCCAGAGAUAGAUACUGGACCAAUUUCAUAUCUUACACAGAGAGGAAAUAGGGAGCAGCAGUGGUCUUGCUGUCCAUAGCUUCACUCAGGUAAUCAUAAGAAUCCAGCAAAACGUAAGAGCCUUCAGAAAGGAGACGACACAUAAGGAGUACGCGUACACGCUGUUAAGUAUUUUACAACAUGCUUAAGGCAGCCUGCUUACACAUUCCUAACCUAUGGCAAAUGAGUGGGAAAGUUCCCUAGAGCAGUGACCAUUCCCAUUUAUUCAAAAUCAAAUUAAGUCAUUCCCAAGGAGACCUAAAAGGAUGCACUUACCUAUGACUAAACAAAGAAUAACUAAUGCACUUGAAAAUUGUACAAAAAUCAAGUUAAAAUUUAACCUUUGGUAUGUCAAAGUCAGUAACUUAUAUGGGAUUACAUAGUUCAACCUGAAAAUAUUUCCAUUUAUGACACACUGUAAUGUUAUACAUGUGGAAUUUGUUCAAUACUUUAAAUUUUCUAAGAGUUCCAAAGUAGUUUUCAUGUUGACUUAUUAUUGAAGGUGAACUUUUAGUCUUACAGGAAUUGUCCUUGGUUGAAUUUCCUAUGUCAGACCUGUAUUCAUGUUUAUAACUAGCAAAAUUUAGCAGCACAAUAAUUGCAUGAAUAAAGCGCUGGUUGAAUUUCUCAGUAGGCUUUUCAUCUUUGAAGCUUUGAAGUCAAAUCCUCAUAAACGUCAAUAUGUUCCUAUCAUGUCCACACCUGUCAUCUGCACCACAAGUCAGUGUAAUCUACAGAUAAAAAUGAGAAGAAAUUGAAAAUAUUUUAUGGCUGUUCUGCUUGAGGGAAUAAGAAUAAAGAAAAUCAAUAUUUCUUGUCAUUUCCUGAAAGUACUGUAUUCUCCAACACAUUUAGCUAGCAUUUUCCCAUUUAAGCAAGGACAAAGAUAUAAGAAGAAAGUUUUUAAUGCAGAAAAUUGAUGCAUCAAUAUUUCUGGGUCAUAGAAAUUGAAGUUGUAUCAAGCAUUAUUUCAAAAUCUAAGUUAAAUAUACUCUCAACGUUGAUUGCUCUCAGCACUAGUACCUACCACAAAAAAGAUUAAAAUAGAUUUAAAAUAUUAAAGAAUGAAGUCACAUUUAGAAUCCUAUUAUUGCCAUUGAAAUAUUACUAAAUUAAUAACCAUUCAAAUGUCAAGAUUUGACUUUAUAAAAUCAUAACUGCAAAGAUAUCUAAUAUUUUUACUUAUGCAGCAUGUUUUUCUCAUUCAUUGUUUUUCAAGCUCAAUGACAAUCUCUCUGUAGAUUGAUGGUAUUAUACAAGGGAAGGAAGACACAAGAUAAAGAAAGGCCAGUCACUGGACGAGAAGGAAGGCAGAUGGGGACAGAGGUAUCUAUGUAGAGAUACAUGGCAAGGAUUGUUUACUUCUGUCUCCAUGUUGCCUCUCUGCCUGUUCUUCUGCUUCUCCCUCUCCUUCUAAAACCUCUGUCCCCAUCUCCCAGAGAAUUUGUGGCUAGUAGAGAACUGCCGGGAGAGAUACUAACCACAGAUAAUUUAUAGUUAAUUCCAUAUGGCCCUCCGGUGUCAGAACUGACUCAAGGGACCAGCAUGGCAUGCUGGAAUGGCUUGUGGACUGCCUGGGUCUGACAGUACUUGGGGACAGCAUGGAGCUGCUGAGAUAAAAUUACCCUGCAGUGCCAUGUGGCCCUACGGGUGCUGGUACUAGUACGGAAUAAAAGGUUCAGGCAUUUUUUUUUUAAUAUUUACUGCAACAUCUCUCAAAAUCUUUUAUCUCUCCUUAAAUUUGUCCUUUGACAAUUUCAUGUGUAUAUGCAAAUUAAUACAUAUAUGUGUUAUGGAUAUAGAUAACAUACAUGUAUGAUCUAUUCUGAUUAAAAUCACCAUCACCUAUUCCCUCCUAUUCCUAAUGUCCCUCCUUCCUCCAAGUCUCUUUCUAGAUCCCCAUUUUUGUUUUAUUUUAAGCUUCACUGCAUUUUCCCAGAGGCAUCUUUGUGGCCAUAGGUUUAUCACUCGUCACUGGAGUAUCUGUAGACACCAGGAAACUAGAAAGGGUCUGUGGAGUUGAGGAUGCCUCGAGGGGUUGGAUAGCAGAACAUAAGUGAUAUAAAGAGCAAGAGGGUGAGUACUGUGAGAGAAGGGUUUAAGAGGGAAUGGGGGAUUGCACAUGGAGUAGUUGAGGAUGAAAGGAGGAUUGUCAAAAACGAGUAACAUUUCAAAGCCUACUACUGUGAAAGCCAACUAAAAACAAUGACCAUAGAGAGAUGAUAGCUCUCUUGGCUUGAAUAAUGAUAAACCUGAUAGCCAGCUGUCAAUAAAUAAAAAUCUCUUUUUGAAUUGUUGGUUAGAAAGUCCUCCAAAAGCUCCCAAAACAAUAUAGGAUCUUGCCAUUCUUCUUGGAAUCCCAUUAGAACUAGAUGAUUAAGACCCUAUUGCUGUUCAGAGUGCCUACAAAUAUCUAGCUUCCCUGCAAGAGAAUUACAGUCAAGUUACCCAGACCCUUGUGGACAUAGACACUUUAUGAGGGCAGUUCAAGUCCUUGAGUAGAUUGGGUCAGAGAUGGGCAAGAAGACUCUGACCAACCUGGAGACGUGUGAGAACUACCUACCAAAGUCUUCACCAAGAGAUUGCUGGCUUCUUGGGUUAGAUCAGGAGGCAUAGGAGCCCGGAUGACAAUCUCUUGGGCACAGCAAGAUAUAGCAAGUAGCAGAGACAGUGCCCAACCACUUACUCUAUCUCCUUCCACCUUGCAUCCACUUCCUGCUUCUGAGACAAUAUAUCCAGAUGCCUACUCAUCUGCCCCCAUUAUUGAUCAGGGUGAUUAGCCAGAGGGUAGGCACUCAAGUGCAGUUUAUUGGAUAAACAUUGGGGCCAAGGGCCUUAGAUCCCAAAUAAAAGAAAAUUUUCUAAAGAAAAAGAAAAGGGCCCUACUUCUGAUACAAUGUAUACAGAUACAGAAAUCAAACUGGAACAGAUCUAGAUUUAUCCCUACUGGCCAGCGUUCACAGUGGCAAAGGCACAGUGGAGGCUACUAGAGGGUAAAGGGUAUAUCAGUGACUUACCCAGAUGGAAACCCUAAAAUCUAUGAUACUAACCUUCCAGGCAAGGUGUGUGCCUACUGUUAUAACACAGGUACAAUUAUUAUAGGAGAAACCAAGUGUUUUAUGGUUGGUUAGUUUUGAGGCCCACUCUAAAGAAGGAACUCAUGACGGGUACUGAGUUCCAGUUUAAAAAUAUUAGUGGCUGAAUAAGUCUUCAGGCAUAUUAAGAGAAUUUAGUUCAGCUAAAAUUGACAUAGUGCCAUCUUUCCC